CGCGUCGCGUGGCUGCUGUCAAGCUCUCCGGGGUCUUUGAGGUCUCCUGUCGUCUCUGUCUUCCUCCACCGCGGCUUCCCGCUCCGGCCGGCCGGCCGAGGAGCCCCGGCAGGCCGCCAGACAUGAACGCUGCUCCCGCUGAAGAGCUGAUCACUGAGUGGGAAAGUGAGCAGGCCCGGCUCCGGCGGCUCCUGGUCCUGGAGGACACGGAGGCCUGGCAGAGCGGUCCGGGCUUCUCGGGGCUGCAGCGGGUGGGCGGAGUGGACCUGUCCUUCAUCAAGGGGGACGAGCAGAACGCCUGCGCCGCGCUGGUGGUGCUCAGCUACCCCCACAUGGAGCUGCUGUAUGAGGACUGUCGCAUGGUGACCCUGACGGCGCCCUACGUGGCCGGGUUCCUGGCCUUCAGAGAGACGCCCUUCCUGCUGGACGCCCUGCGGCGGCUGAGGGAGGACCGGCCGGAACUCCUGCCUCAGGUGGUGUUUGUGGAUGGAAACGGUGUCUUUCACUACAGAGAGUUCGGCCUGGCGUGUCACCUGGGCGUGCUGUCCGGCCUCCCCUGUGUGGGCGUGGCCAAAAACCUGCUGCAGGUGCAGGGCGUGCAGAAGAGCGAGGAGCACCAGUCGCAGAUCGCUGCUCUGCGGAGAGGAGGAGACAGCUUCCCGCUCACCGCCGCCUCCGGCGCCGUGCUGGGAAAGGCGCUGAGAAGCUCGGACAAAAGCUCGAAGCCGGUUUACGUGUCGGUGGGUCAUAAGAUCAGCCUGGACACGGCCGUGCGCCUCACACACUCCUGCUGCCGCUACCGAGUGCCCGAGCCCAUCAGACAGGCCGACUGCCGCUCCAGAGAAUACCUUCGAACGCACUUUCCACCUGCAGACGCCUGAGCCAGACGUGAGCUCCAGAGCUUCAGUGGCUCUUCUCUUUCCUCCGCCUCGUUCAUCUCUUGCCAUGCGCGGCGCGCCGCGUUAACGACGAGGACCGAUUGCUGGUGGGCGGAGGGCAGCAGAUGAGUUGGAUCUGAGCCAGCAAACGGAUAAAGAAGAUCGACCAGCAACAACAGAAGACCUUACACUGCUGUGUGUGUGUGUGUGUGUGUGUGUGUGUGUGUUCUUGUAUUUCUAUCCUUGUCGGGGCCAAAUGUCCCCACAAGGAUAGCAAAACGUGAA
Molecule: RNA transcript, 1163 nt
Organism: Salarias fasciatus (jewelled blenny)
Lineage: Eukaryota; Metazoa; Chordata; Actinopteri; Blenniiformes; Blenniidae
Gene name: endonuclease V
Exons: 11
Source: RefSeq, a predicted model, not a curated record